GGAGGCAGCAGUGGGGAAUAUUGCACAAUGGGCGCAAGCCUGAUGCAGCCAUGCCGCGUGUGUGAAGAAGGCCUUCGGGUUGUAAAGCACUUUCAGUCGUGAGGAAGGUGGUAGUGUUAAUAGCACUAUCAUUUGACGUUAGCGACAGAAGAAGCACCGGCUAACUCCGUGCCAGCAGCCGCGGUAAUACGGAGGGUGCGAGCGUUAAUCGGAAUUACUGGGCGUAAAGCGCAUGCAGGUGGUUUGUUAAGUCAGAUGUGAAAGCCCGGGGCUCAACCUCGGAAUAGCAUUUGAAACUGGCAGACUAGAGUACUGUAGAGGGGGGUAGAAUUUCAGGUGUAGCGGUGAAAUGCGUAGAGAUCUGAAGGAAUACCGGUGGCGAAGGCGGCCCCCUGGACAGAUACUGACACUCAGAUGCGAAAGCGUGGGGAGCAAACAGGAUUAGAUACCCUGGUAGUCCACGCCGUAAACGAUGUCUACUUGGAGGUUGUGGCCUUGAGCCGUGGCUUUCGGAGCUAACGCGUUAAGUAGACCGCCUGGGGAGUACGGUCGCAAGAUUAAAACUCAAAUGAAUUGACGGGGGCCCGCACAAGCGGUGGAGCAUGUGGUUUAAUUCGAUGCAACGCGAAGAACCUUACCUACUCUUGACAUCCAGAGAACUUCCAGAGAUG
This 671-nucleotide ribosomal RNA is filed under the name Vibrio sp. Its description in RNAcentral is "bacterial SSU rRNA". It matches the Rfam family "Bacterial small subunit ribosomal RNA", at positions 344 to 1008 of the family's 1533-position model. Lineage: Bacteria; Pseudomonadati; Pseudomonadota; Gammaproteobacteria; Vibrionales; Vibrionaceae. The record is from RNAcentral.